CUUUAUCAUAAGUGUCCUAAAUAAUGAAAGAACAAUUCUUCAAGAGAAAAGGAGUGGUCAGCCCCUUUACCCUCCUGUCAAGGAAAAUUAAGCCUGAAGGUCAUACUAUUGGAUGCUUAAAGGCCCUGCCGAUUCAUCACAAGACAGUUUCCACAAACUGAUGGGAGAGAGACACUUGCAAGGCUUAGGUUAUCGCAGGAGUGGGACUGGUGACUAAAGAGGAAAUGAGACCUAAGCUAGCCUCCUUGCCAUGUGAUACUCUGCACCACCUUGAGACUCUGCAGAGAGUACCCACCAACAAGGAAGCUCUCACCAGAUGCGCCCCCUUGACCUUGGACUUCUCCACCUCCAGAACAGUACAAAAUAAAUUUCAUUUCUCA
Molecule: long non-coding RNA, 380 nt
Filed under: Homo sapiens (human)
Lineage: Eukaryota; Metazoa; Chordata; Mammalia; Primates; Hominidae
Description: HSALNT0337213
Source: RNAcentral